ACGUAGGAGGCAAACGUUAUCCGGAUUUACUGGGCGUAAAGCGCGGGUAGGCGGUACUGUAAGUAGGGCGUGAAAGCUCCUGGCUCAACUGGGAGAGGCCGUUCUAAACUACAGAACUAGAGGAUGGUAGAGGGAGGUGGAAUUCCAGGUGUAGCGGUGGAAUGCGCAGAUAUCUGGAGGAACACCGAUGGCGAAGGCAGCCUCCUGGACCAUUACUGACACUCAGACGCGAAGGUUAGGGUAGCAAACGG
This 251-nucleotide ribosomal RNA is filed under the name uncultured prokaryote. RNAcentral's name for it is "partial 16S rRNA". It matches the Rfam family "Bacterial small subunit ribosomal RNA", at positions 525 to 775 of the family's 1533-position model. The record is from RNAcentral.